GAGGGUAUAGCUCAGUGGUAGAGCGCGUGCUGGGCAUACACAGGGUCCUGGGUUCAAUCCCCAGUCCCUCCA
RNAcentral lists this transfer RNA (72 nucleotides) under Camelus bactrianus (Bactrian camel). It matches the Rfam family "tRNA". From Rfam's summary of the family: Transfer RNA (tRNA) molecules are approximately 80 nucleotides in length. RNAcentral also lists the same sequence under 2 other names. The record is from Rfam by way of RNAcentral. Lineage: Eukaryota; Metazoa; Chordata; Mammalia; Artiodactyla; Camelidae.